RNAcentral lists this ribosomal RNA (468 nucleotides) under Eoacmaea profunda. RNAcentral describes it as "Patelloida profunda partial 16S ribosomal RNA". It matches the Rfam family "Bacterial large subunit ribosomal RNA", at positions 1860 to 2581 of the family's 2925-position model. Lineage: Eukaryota; Metazoa; Mollusca; Gastropoda; Eoacmaeidae. The record is from RNAcentral.
UGCUCGGUGGAUUGUCUUCUUAACAGCUGUGGUAUAUUGACCAUACUAAGGUAGCAUAAUAAGUUGCCCUUUAAUUGGGGGCUGGAAUGAAUGGUAAGACGAGGGAGUGACUGUCUCUUCUUCUCUCUGUUGAAAUUGUCCUCUAAGUGAAAAGGCUUAGAUGUUGUUAUAAGACAAAGAGACCCUAGAAGCUUGAUUUGAUAGAGAUAACUGAUUGUCAAUUUAAUUGUCUUUUGUACCUCUUUUGAUUUGGCUGGGGCGGCUCCGGAACAACUAAACUUCCGGACAUAUGUAAUAUAGUACGCAUUUGUGGGAUCGUGAAGUGUUUGCUUUCUAUUUUUGGUAAAGUUACUCUAGGGAUAACAGGGCUUUCCCCUUUAGGAGAACUUAUCUGUUGGGGGGUUAGCUACCUCGAUGUUGGAUUAGGGUUUUCUCGAGGCGCAGAAGCUUUUAUGAGAUUGGUUUGUU